UCCCAGGUGGCUUAGUGGUAAAGAAUCUGCCUCCAAUACAGGAGAUCCAGGUUCCAUACCUGGGUGGGGAA
Molecule: transfer RNA, 71 nt
Filed under: Ovis aries (sheep)
Lineage: Eukaryota; Metazoa; Chordata; Mammalia; Artiodactyla; Bovidae
Rfam family: tRNA
About the family: Transfer RNA (tRNA) molecules are approximately 80 nucleotides in length.
Source: Rfam by way of RNAcentral